Molecule: ribosomal RNA, 492 nt
Filed under: uncultured bacterium
Lineage: Bacteria
Description: partial 16S ribosomal RNA
Rfam family: Bacterial small subunit ribosomal RNA
Source: RNAcentral
AGUGAACGCUGGCGGUAGGCCUAACACAUGCAAGUCGAACGGCAGCACAGUAAGAGCUUGCUCUUACGGGUGGCGAGUGGCGGACGGGUGAGGAAUACAUCGGAAUCUACUUUUUCGUGGGGGAUAACGUAGGGAAACUUACGCUAAUACCGCAUACGACCUACGGGUGAAAGCAGGGGAUCUUCGGACCUUUCGCGAUUGAAUGAGCCGAUGUCGGAUUAGCUAGUUGGCGGGGUAAAGGCCCACCAAGGCGACGAUCCGUAGCUGGUCUGAGAGGAUGAUCAGCCACACUGGAACUGAGACACGGUCCAGACUCCUACGGGAGGCAGCAGUGUGGAAUAUUGGACAAUGGGCGCAAGCCUGAUCCAGCCAUACCGCGUGGGUGAAGAAGGCCUUCGGGUUGUAAAGCCCUUUUGUUGGGAAAGAAAAGCAGCAGGUUAAUACCCCGCUGUUCUGACGGUACCCAAAGAAUAAGCACCGGCUAACUUCGUG